Long non-coding RNA from Cervus elaphus (red deer), 380 nucleotides. RefSeq lists it as uncharacterized. The record is from RefSeq and is a predicted model, not a curated record. The transcript is spliced from 4 exons. Lineage: Eukaryota; Metazoa; Chordata; Mammalia; Artiodactyla; Cervidae.
AGGGACGACAGCCUCUGAGGGGCCCACCCGGGCUCAUCUUCCGGAAGACCCCGGCGGUAGGGGGCCGAGAACGGACCCUGCGCACAGGGCCCCACGGAUCCGGGACCAGACGGCGGAAGGGGCGCUCCCGCCUGGAGUCCCAGAGGCUGAGAAGUCCAGGAUCAAGGUGCAAGCAGAUUCAGUAUCUGCAUGUGAAGAUACAGCAACAAGGUGGCCAUUGUCUGCAAACCAGGAAGAAGUUUCUCACCAGACACCACAUUGAACCUGCCAGCACCUUGAACCUGGACUUCCCACUCUCUGGAACUCUUUUAUGCUGUAUUUACUUAGCACUGUGACAGCUUGAAAUGAAAAGGAUGAGGAAUACUACACAAAUGAAGGAA